AUCCAGAUGACGAGUCGCAAAUAGAACGAAAUGCAUUUUAUCCUGGAU
This 48-nucleotide non-coding RNA is filed under the name Trichobilharzia regenti. The record is from RNAcentral. Lineage: Eukaryota; Metazoa; Platyhelminthes; Trematoda; Strigeidida; Schistosomatidae.